UUAGUAGACUAUUCUUUUGAGGAUUGUAUAAUUAUUUUUGGUACGUUACUAAUUAUCACUUGUUUUAACUUCAAAGUAAGUAAUUGUUAUACUUGUUUUGGUAAACUAAAACGAGAACUUAUUAAUAUUUUCGCGUUGGCUUGCCUGACAAUGGUGUUGGGCGCCAUCACGACCUAUAAUAAAAUUGGGUCGUGACGCAUCAUCUCUACUACUUUUGCUUUCUUUGCUGCCCUUUAUAGCACAAGCUCCAAAUUCACUAACAAACCCAGUUUUACACUUUCUUGUUCCCUCAUCAGCAACAGCAUCAUCAUGUUAUACUGCUAAUCCAACCUUGUCACAACCAAGGCACCUGGUAUCUCUUUGAACUUUGAAUGGAAAUUGAAGCUGUGAAUGUGGCUUUUGUAUGGAAAGUUUGUUUCUGUUGAAGUUCAAUAAAAACUGCUAUUUGUUUGAAGCUUGGUUUUCAUAUUCUGCUCGGUUUAUUUAGCUUCUUGUCCAUUUCUCCUCUUAUUUUUUUUCUUAAACGUAAUAGAUUUGUAAUAAUAAUUGCUCUAGUGAUUCAUGUUUAAGUGUUAAAAUUGUAUGAAAGUUUGAAGUGGAACCAUGGUAAUUAGCUCUUUGUUUCGCAUUU
This is a long non-coding RNA of Nicotiana tabacum (common tobacco), 631 nucleotides long. RefSeq lists it as uncharacterized. The record is from RefSeq and is a predicted model, not a curated record. Lineage: Eukaryota; Viridiplantae; Streptophyta; Magnoliopsida; Solanales; Solanaceae.